GACAGAGGCCUCGAGCGUUAGGCGGAAUCACUGGGCUUAAAGCGUGUGUAGGCGGGUCCGUAAGUGUCUUGUGAAAUCCCACGGCUCAACCGUGGAACUGCUGGGCAUACUGCGGGUCUUGGGCCAACUAGGGGCAGCCGGAACAAGCGGUGGAGCGGUGAAAUGCGUAGAUAUCGCCUGGAACGCCGAAGGUGAAAACAGGCUGCUGGGGUUGCGCCGACGCUGAGACACGAAAGCCAGGGGAGCAAACGGG
This 253-nucleotide ribosomal RNA is filed under the name uncultured bacterium. RNAcentral describes it as "partial 16S ribosomal RNA". It matches the Rfam family "Bacterial small subunit ribosomal RNA", at positions 524 to 776 of the family's 1533-position model. The record is from RNAcentral.